Molecule: long non-coding RNA, 1607 nt
Organism: Camelina sativa (false flax)
Lineage: Eukaryota; Viridiplantae; Streptophyta; Magnoliopsida; Brassicales; Brassicaceae
Source: RefSeq, a predicted model, not a curated record
UAUACUUGGUUUCAUUUUCUUACAAAUGUCGAGUACUACAAUCUGUUUUCAUCUCUUUAGUUCUCUUCUUCCACGCUGUUGGAGUCCUUACUCAAUCUAUCUAAGAUCAAAAAUGCUUUGGGACUGUUGGAGUCCUCACUAUUUAUAUUUCUAGCCGAGAGAAACAAGCAUAAAGCUUCAUCUUCUUACAAGAGGGUUGAAGAAGGAGAACAAGAAUGCCUUGGGACUGUGUGGCGUUUUUCCAUCAAGCUUUGCCAGACUUUGUUGGAAAUUGACUAGACUGUGCGUGCAGCAAUAUUUGUAUUUUUUUUUCUUUCCUGAUAAAGAUACUAUGCAGUGUGUGUGCAAUGUAUAGAUGAAUGCUAGGCAUAGAUGUAUAGGGUGUGAAUGGUAGAGAUGAAUGUUAGGCAUAUGCGAAUUGUAUAGAUGAAUGUUAGGGUGUGAAUGGUAUAGAUGAAUGUCAGGAUGUGAAUGGUAUGGAUGAAUGCUAGGGUGUGAAUGGUAUAGAUAAAUGUUAGGAUGUGAAUGGUAUAGAUGAAUGUUAGGCAUAUGCGAAUCGUAUAGAUGAGAAUGUUAAGGUGUGAAUGGUAUUAUAGAUGAAUGUUAGGCAUAGAUGUUUGAAUAGGCGCGUGAAUGUGAGCGUAGAACGUGAGGCAAAUAAGUGGAACGAGGGACAAAAAUGAAAGAAACAAUCGCUAGACAAAACACAAAAAGCAAACAAAAAAAAUCGCAAAGUCUAAAAGCGUUGGAAACACGCCAAUCGCUAGUCGAAACUAAUUCCCAAACAAGGUCGAAAAACAUGAAACUGAAAGAAAAUAACGUAAAUAGUCAAAGUCCGAACAUCGCUAGUCGAAACAAUGUCAAGAUAUGUUACGAAACUGUCGAACACACAGAUUAAUGUUUCGUCGAAACACCCAAAAAAAAAACUCAAGACAAAACGUAAGCGUCUCGAAGUCUUGAAAAAACAAAAUGGCAAACCGAUCGAUCAAAAGGAAAACUCGCUAGUCUUGAAGCAAACCGAUCAAAGACAUCAAAGAAUAGGAGUUAAAAGAGAUUUGUUGGACUUCAAUGUUCCCAACCAAAACUUUCUCAAGUUGUUCAAAAACAAACAGUCCAAUUCAAAAAGCUCCUUAGGGAAAACCUUAGGCACAUCUUCAAAAACAUCCACAUCCAAACCAGCACCACCAAUCUCACCUUCUCUCAAGCAUCUCACCAUUUCCUCAUCGAUUUAGCUUAGCCCCACGAGCGACGUUGACGAUCGCUCCUUGUUUCCCCUUGCUUCCCCAGAGCAGAAAGAACGUCCAUGUAGGUAAGGAACAGAUAGUUUUCUAGUUUUCCGUUUCCGUUUCUUGGGGCUGCCAAUGAGCCUAUCGAGCCGAUUGGCGUUGGAAAUGCGCCGGAAAACGUCUAUGAGUAAACUGACGGCAAUAUCUGACAUCUUGACGGAGAAGCUCUAGCACACUCAGAUAUGUCAACGCCUAAUCAAACAUGUUUACGUCAAACACUUUUUUUUUUCCCUAAAAUCUUCUUUUUCCUUGCUUGUUAAUUUGUUUUGUUUUUUGUAUUUUUAAUUAAUUCUAAAACUGCUUAAAAGUUGAUUUCAUUUA